UAAAAAAUAGCUAGAUUCUGAAGAAGAAAACUUUACUUCAGCAAGAAAGUAGGGUUUACUAGUGCACUGCCAAAACCCUAGUCCACGCUCUCUUUAUCUCUGUAACCAUAUUCUACGCACCUUCGAUUCUAGCUAACCCUAAGAGGGUUCAUGUAAUGGCUGGUGCCCGAGAAAUCACCACUGCAUCUCAAUUUUUGCAGGGUACCUCUAGGCAAACUCUGUUUUUACUGAGAGAUUUGCCUAUUAAUCGGCGAAAGCAGCUGCUAUGUGGCACACUUCGUAAUCGUAAGCCUCCUCUGGGUGUAUCUAACGGAAGAUGUGUAUCAUUGAGGUGCUGUGCUCAAUCAAAGCCUACAGCUGUUGUUUCUGGUGGUGUGACAAGCUCUGUUGAUGAACAAUCUAGUUUGAUUGAGAAGCCUGCACAAGAAAUUGUCCAUUUUUAUCGCUUGCCAUUAAUUCAAGAGAGUGCAACUCUUGAAUUGCUCAAGUUGGUUCAAACAAAAGUUUCGAAUGAGAUUGUUGGGCUACAAACUGAGCAGUGUUUUAAUAUUGGUCUUCAAUCUGAGAUUUCGGAUGAGAAGCUUGGAGUACUUAGGUGGCUUCUUCAGGAAACGUAUGAGCCAGAGAAUUUGGGGACUGAGAGCUUUCUUGAGAAGAAGAGGAAAGAAGGAUUGAAUACUGUUGUAGUUGAGGUUGGGCCUAGGUUGUCUUUUACAACAGCUUGGUCUGCAAAUGCCGUGUCAAUUUGUUGUGCUUGUGGGUUAACAGAAGUGACUCGAAUGGAACGGUCGAGGAGGUACUUGCUCUAUAGUAAGGGAGUGUUGCAAGAAGAUCAACUUAAUGAGUUUGCUGCCUUGGUUCAUGAUCGGAUGACUGAAUGUGUUUAUACUCAGAGGCUGACAUCUUUUGAGACUAAUGUGGUUCCUGAGGAAGUACGAUACGUGCCUGUUAUAGAGAAGGGUAGGAAAGCUUUGGAAGAGAUUAAUCAGGAGAUGGGAUUAGCUUUUGAUGAGCAAGAUUUGCAGUAUUACACUAGGCUGUUCAAGGAUGAUAUCAAACGGAAUCCAACAACAGUGGAAUUGUUUGACAUUGCUCAAUCCAACAGUGAGCAUAGUAGGCACUGGUUUUUUACUGGGAAGAUUGUUAUUGAUGGACAGCCCAUGGAUAGAACUCUUAUGCAGAUUGUGAAGAGCACCUUGCAGGCUAAUCCAAACAAUUCUGUAAUUGGCUUCAAGGAUAAUUCUAGUGCAAUCAAGGGUUUCCCUGUAAAGCAGUUGCGACCAGUUCAGCCUGGUUUGACAUGUCCACUGAAUGCAACUACUCGUGACCUUGAUAUUUUAUUUACAGCUGAAACCCAUAAUUUCCCUUGCGCUGUGGCUCCUUAUCCUGGGGCAGAGACUGGUGCUGGCGGUAGAAUUAGGGAUACCCACGCAACAGGUAGGGGUUCAUUUGUUAUUGCAGCUACAGCUGGUUACUGCGUUGGGAAUCUGAAUAUAGAGGGUUCUUUUGCUCCAUGGGAGGAUCAUUCUUUCUCAUAUCCAUCAAACUUGGCAUCUCCUUUGCAGAUUCUUAUUGAUGCCAGUAAUGGGGCAUCAGACUAUGGAAACAAAUUCGGGGAGCCCUUAAUUCAGGGGUAUACUAGAACUUUUGGAAUGAGACUUCCAAGUGGAGAAAGGCGAGAAUGGUUGAAGCCCAUAAUGUUCAGUGGGGGAAUUGGGCAGAUUGAUCAUAUGCAUAUAACAAAAGGAGAGCCUGACCUUGGUAUGUUGGUUGUGAAGAUUGGAGGUCCUGCAUAUCGUAUUGGAAUGGGAGGUGGGGCCGCAUCAAGUAUGGUGAGUGGCCAGAAUGAUGCAGAGCUUGAUUUUAAUGCUGUACAACGUGGAGAUGCUGAGAUGGCUCAAAAACUCUAUCGAGUUGUUCGUGCCUGCAUUGAAAUGGGGGAGAAUAAUCCAAUUAUCAGCAUCCAUGAUCAGGGAGCAGGUGGUAACUGUAAUGUUGUCAAGGAGAUUAUAUAUCCAAAGGGCGCUGUGAUUGACAUCCGGGCAAUUGUUGUUGGUGAUCAUACGAUGUCUGUUUUGGAGAUAUGGGGCGCAGAAUAUCAGGAACAAGAUGCAAUCUUGGUAAAGCCUGAGAGCCGCGAUCUUUUACAAUCAAUCUGUGAAAGAGAAAGGGUGUCAAUGGCUGUUAUUGGGACGAUCAAUGGUGAGGGACGUGUUGUUUUGGUUGAUAGCUUAGCUAAUGAGAAGUGCCAUUCAAGUGGACACCCUACUCCUCCUCCUGCUGUGGAUCUUGAGCUGGAGCAAGUACUCGGGGACAUGCCUCAGAAGACCUUUGAGUUUCACCACGUGGUUCAUGCACGAGAGCCACUUGAUAUUGCCCCAGGGAUCACUGUGAUGGAGGCUUUGAAGAGGGUAUUAAGACUUCCUUCUGUGUGUUCAAAACGCUUCUUGACAACAAAAGUGGAUAGAUGUGUUACAGGUCUUGUGGCACAGCAGCAAACUGUUGGUCCUUUGCAGAUUACUCUUGCUGAUGUUGCUGUCAUUGCUCAGACUUACACUGACUUGACUGGAGGUGCAUGUGCAAUUGGAGAGCAGCCAAUCAAAGGUCUGGUUAAUCCAAAGGCAAUGGCUAGAUUAGCUGUUGGAGAAGCACUCACAAAUCUAGUUUGGGCUAAGGUUACUUCUCUUUCUGAUGUUAAAGCAAGUGGGAAUUGGAUGUAUGCUGCCAAGCUUGAUGGGGAGGGGGCAGACAUGUAUGAUGCUGCAAAAGCUCUAUCUGAAGCUAUGAUUGAACUUGGUAUUGCAAUUGAUGGGGGAAAGGAUAGUCUGUCAAUGGCAGCCCAUGCAGCUGGUGAGGUUGUUAAGGCUCCGGGUAAUCUUGUUAUAAGUGUGUAUGUCACUUGUCCUGACAUCACAAAAACAGUUACUCCAGAUUUGAAAUUGGGAGAUGAUGGUUUGUUGCUUCACAUUGAUAUGGCAAAAGGAAAGCGGCGGUUAGGUGCCUCUGCUCUUGCUCAAGCUUUUGACCAAGUUGGGGAUGACUGUCCUGAUCUUGAGGAUGUUCCUUACCUCAAAAGAGUUUUUGAGUGUAUCCAGGAUCUUAUUGCAGAUGAACUCAUCUCUUCUGGACAUGAUAUUAGUGAUGGUGGACUACUUGUCUGUGCCAUGGAGAUGGCAUUUGCUGGGAAUUGUGGUAUUGCUUUGGACUUAACUUCACAAGGGAAUGGUCUCUUCCAGACACUCUUUGCUGAAGAGCUUGGUCUUGUUGUUGAGAUUAGCACAAAGAACUUGGAUACUGUAAUGCAAAAGCUCACUAGUGUAGGAGUUUCUGCUGAUAUUAUUGGACAAGUGACUGCCUCACCAGUGAUAGAACUGAAAGUUGAUUCGGUAACUCAUUUGAAUGAGAAGACUUCUCUCCUUAGAGAUGUGUGGGAAGAAACUAGUUUUCAUCUGGAAAAGUUCCAAAGACUGGCUUCUUGUGUGGACAUGGAGAACGAAGGUUUGAAGUCUAGGCAUGAACCUUACUGGAAGCUAUCUUUUAUUCCUUCCUUUACUGAUGAGAAAUAUAUGACUGCAACUUUGAAACCAAAAGUGGCUGUGAUUCGAGAGGAAGGCAGCAAUGGAGACAGAGAGAUGGCUGCAGCACUUUAUGCUGCUGGUUUUGAACCCUGGGAUGUUACAAUGUCAGACCUCUUGAAUGGAGCUAUCUCUCUUCAUGAAUUCCAUGGGAUUGUGUUUGUGGGGGGUUUUAGUUAUGCUGAUGUCCUUGAUUCUGCAAAAGGUUGGUCUGCUUCCAUACGAUUCAAUCAACCCCUUCUAAAUCAAUUUCAGGAGUUCUACAAGCGGCCUGACACUUUCAGUCUUGGUGUUUGCAAUGGCUGUCAGCUCAUGGCUCUACUGGGUUGGGUCCCAGGCCCCCAGGUUGGGGGUGUGCUUGGUGCUGGAGGUGACCCAUCACAACCAAGGUUCAUUCACAAUGAAUCUGGUCGAUUUGAAUGCCGCUUUACAAGUGUGACAAUAAAGGAUUCGCCUGCUAUAAUGUUCAAAGGGAUGGAAGGUAGUACAUUAGGGGUGUGGGCUGCCCAUGGCGAGGGAAGAGCAUAUUUCCCUGAUGAUGGUGUUCUUGAUCGUGUGAUUCAUUCAAACUUGGCCCCAGUUAGAUACUGCGAUGAUGAUGGGAAUCCUACAGAAGCUUACCCUUUCAAUGUGAAUGGCUCUCCCUUAGGAGUAGCAGCAAUUUGUUCUCCUGAUGGGAGGCAUCUUGCCAUGAUGCCUCAUCCAGAACGUUGCUUCUUGAUGUGGCAAUUCCCAUGGUACCCCUUGAACUGGAAUGUGGACAAAAAAGGUCCUAGCCCAUGGUUAAAGAUGUUCCAAAAUGCCAGAGAAUGGUGCUUAUGAGACAGUUUGUCAAAUUGUUGGAGAGAUAUGGAUCAUCAUUUUGAAGGGAUGUAGAAUUUUUUGAAGUCAAGAGGUGUUUUGGAUCACAAAUCAUUAUCCAUAGUUCCUCCAGCAUCAAAUUAAGCUUAUUUUUCUGUGCCAAAAAUACACACCAAGGUUUCAAUGGACACAGGUGUUGAAAGUUUUGAGUUUCAUGUUGUUCCCUUCAAUAUGUUUAUGGUUUCUCUUUCAUUUGUAUUGAACUACAUGAAUAAUACAAAAUUUUAGUUGUUAUAAAUAGAUUCCUUCUGCUGUUCUUUUUGAUGGUUGGGUAGCAUGAAGAACUAGCCAGUUUCUUGAAGAUGUUUUCUGUUUAAUAAGCAUGGCAUAAACUGUUCCAUGUAUGCAAUUCAUGUUAUAAAAAGCCAAGUUGGAGUAGUCAAGGAAAUUAUCCAUCUUGCAACUGACUAUUGAAUGA
Molecule: unclassified non-coding RNA, 4854 nt
Filed under: Hevea brasiliensis (rubber tree)
Lineage: Eukaryota; Viridiplantae; Streptophyta; Magnoliopsida; Malpighiales; Euphorbiaceae
Source: RNAcentral